This is a long non-coding RNA of Photinus pyralis (common eastern firefly), 429 nucleotides long. RefSeq lists it as uncharacterized. The record is from RefSeq and is a predicted model, not a curated record. The transcript has 2 exons. NCBI's taxonomy places the organism in Eukaryota, Metazoa, Arthropoda, Insecta, Coleoptera, Lampyridae.
AAAUAACUUCAACCGCAAAAGACUAAAGCGGAUACUGAUUACAAUUCAUUUACAUGCAACUGUGCGCGGUGAUUGAGUGAUUAAAAUGAAUCGAAUACUUGAAAGUAUACAACAAUUCGAAGCGAAAAAAGAAAAGAACUUUAAUGAAACGAGGAAUGCAUUACUGCAACUAAACGUUAACGAACUAAUGCAGAUAUGGACCAAGAUACCCAUUAUAUAUCAAAAUGAUAGCGAAAUAUGUAAUCGAAUUCGUUGUACUAAACACUGGAAUCAACCGUGGCAACGUAUCCAUAUUGAUGGACCAGCUCCGCUUAUGAUAUAUUGCAAAUAUUGCAUUCAAGGUGAAUAAACGAACUAUUUGCUACCUUUUUUAAUCUUCCUCAAAGUAAGCGCAUUUGGUCUAGUAGAAAAUAAAUAAACAAACUCUUU